CCUACGGGUGGCAGCAGUGAGGAAUAUUGGUCAAUGGGCGCGAGUCUGAACCAGCCAAGUCGCGUGAGGGAUGAAGGUUCUAUGGAUCGUAAACCUCUUUUAUAAGGGAAUAAAGUGUGGGACGUGUCCUAUUUUGUAUGUACCUUAUGAAUAAGGAUCGGCUAACUCCGUGCCAGCAGCCGCGGUAAUACAGAGGAGCCGAGCUUUGUCCGGAGUUAUAGGGUUUAAAGGGUGCGUAGGGGGCCUUUUAAGUCAGCGGUGAAAUUCUGUGGCUCAACCAUAGAAUUGCAGUUGAAACUGGGGGGCGUGAGUAUGUUUGAGGCAGGCGGAAUGCGUGGUGGAGCGGUGAAAUGCUUAGAUAUCACGCAGAACCCCGAUUGCGAAGGCAGCCUGCCAAGCCAUGACUGACGCUGAUGCACGAAAGCGUGGGGAUCAAACAGGAUUAGAUACCCGGGUAGUC
RNAcentral lists this ribosomal RNA (460 nucleotides) under uncultured bacterium. RNAcentral describes it as "partial 16S ribosomal RNA". It matches the Rfam family "Bacterial small subunit ribosomal RNA", at positions 338 to 795 of the family's 1533-position model. The record is from RNAcentral.